CGACCCGGGCUGCCCACUACCCCCGACCCCCACCUUCUUCUCCCGACACCUCCCACCCUCAGCGGCGCCUCACCAUCACCCACCACCGCGGCGCCCCACCUCCACCCCACCCCUGGCGCCCCACCUCCACCCCAACCCCCCAGUGCCCCACCUCCACCCCACCCUCGUCGACCCACAACCACCCCACCCCUCUUCCUCCUGGCCGGCGCCGCCUCCCAUCCUCUUCCUCCCGGUCGGGCCCGCCGCGCCUCCUCUUUCUCACGGCCGAGGCCGCCGCGCUUCCUCUUGCUCCCGGAAUUGCCACCGCCCCUGGAUCCCCUUCCUUCUUCCACCUUUCUUCAAUGCCCAUGGUCAGCCCACUACGCCUCUCCUAGUCGUUGCAUCCCUCACAGAUCCUCCUUGGCGUCGCCCAGAUCCGGUGGAGCACGCGCCCGAUUAGCCAUCGGGCUUUGGUGGCCGGGGGUGACCACUGUCGGAGGAGGAGGUUGGGGGAAGGAGUGGACCAUGGGAUCCGGCGGAUGCGCGUACGAGGGGAGGUGGUGAGCCUGUCGUGGCGCCGGGGAUCGGAGGUUCUGAAGGUGGCCGAAGAUCACUGUCCUCCUCUCUCUUUAGUGGAUCCUGCUAUCCGAUGAGGGCGAGUAGUGGAGCCUGCUACCCGAUGCAGUUCGAUUCGGUCAUCCUCCCUUGCAUGAGCAGCCCAAGGCGUGUUGCUAGAGCAGUACACAGCAGCAGGUGUGCUCGGCCAUCAGCCUCUGGGAUUCAGUUCGCCAGAGCAUCCCUCACAUCUCCCUUCUCACCGGAGAAGUAUGGCAGUGUGCUGGCUUGCAGUCCGGUGGUGCCGUGUAGUUAGCCGUCCCAAUCCCAUACAAGUACAGUACCGUGUGUGGGCGUGCCAGCAACGCAGCCCACCCCAAAAUGUGAGCGACGACGGCAGCAACGCAUCCCACCCCAAAUGCGAGCGACGGCGAGGAUUUGCCAAUGCAGUGCAUGCAUGCACUUCAGCUUGUCUGUUUUGUUUGAAGAUUUUAUUACUUAUAAUGGCAGCGAUUCAUUUGUAAAAAAGUGGUGGAACUUCGAUGCAGCUCAUUCCAGAAAACUCUGUGGUUCAGUUCAAAAAUUGCGCCUCGGUUUUGUUGUUCUUGCAGUAGGGGGUAACAUCAAAAGGCAAAAAAAAGAAGUGAAAAUACAGAUGCAGUUCUCUGCCUAGGGUAGGUCUCCUCGGUACCAAAUGUAUCUGCAGUACAGAUGUCUUGAAUGAAUUUGUUUGAAGAAGACAAAAAAAGUAGUUGACUCCAAA
Molecule: long non-coding RNA, 1297 nt
Organism: Aegilops tauschii subsp. strangulata
Lineage: Eukaryota; Viridiplantae; Streptophyta; Magnoliopsida; Poales; Poaceae
Source: RefSeq, a predicted model, not a curated record